AGAGUUUGAUCAUGGCUCAGAAUCAACGCUGGCGGCGUGCCUAACACAUGCAAGUCGAACGAGAAAGUGGAGCAAUCCAUGAGUAAAGUGGCGACCGGGUGAGUAACACGUGACUAACCUACCUCUUAGUGGGGAAUAACUCCGGGAACCGGGGCUAAUACCGCAUAACACCGCAAGGUCAAAGCAGCAAUGCGCUGGGA
This 200-nucleotide ribosomal RNA is filed under the name uncultured bacterium. Its description in RNAcentral is "partial 16S ribosomal RNA". It matches the Rfam family "Bacterial small subunit ribosomal RNA", at positions 8 to 223 of the family's 1533-position model. The record is from RNAcentral.